UCUGUGAGAGAGAGAGAGAAAAACAGGACUAGUGGAUCCUCCCCUGCACGUGGGCUGGAGGCGCACGGCUCCUCUGCCGUCCUUCCCAGCGGCUCUGGAGACUCGGGUCCGGGGCAGGCGAAGUAACAGCAGGUCAGUGGGCAGGGUGGGGUCACACCCGGGGCGAACGGGGACCACGGCCACGCUUGAGGGUGACGCUCAGGAAAACGUGAGUCAGCUCCAGGUGGGCAUCCGGGACUUUACAUCUUAAUGGCAACGGGCCCCCGGCACCCUGGGGCCACCAGGCACAGCUGGGCAGGCUGUGCACUACACAAGGGAACUAUGGUACAAUAGCACAGACUUGCACAUUUAUUGCAACAAUUUUCCUGCAGCCAAGGCGUUCCUUUCCGUUAAAGCCAGAAUAUCGCGACCGUUUUCCAACAUGGAAGUGUCUUGAAAAAAGGGCAUCUUUUUCCAACUCCUGCGGUGGUGCUGUAUGCACAGCAGCCACCAGGCGUCCACCCGGCCUGAGCAGGCAGCGUGACAUGAACACAUGCGAAUGCACUCCUAUGCGUAAACUGAGAUCCAUGCUGCCUGUAGAUGAUAAACCUCACCCCCGCCGCAGGGAUCUUGCUUCCCUGGCCCUUUGCCCUCUCGUCCCCCAGGCCCCAUUACCAGACCGUGCUCGUGCUCCUGUACAUUCACCUGAACCAGCACCCAUGCCUUGGCGUCUCUUAGGUACAAGCCUCAACCGGAAUUCAGAGUCCCUUUGGGCUUCCGCUAAACCCACUGGGGGAACACCACAACGUGGCCAGUCCCUGGCUGCUGGGCUGUCUGUGGCCGGGCAGACGAGGAGUCCUUCGAUGCAGAGGGUGCCCCGGUAUCCUGUCCGUGGUUCUACCCUGUGGUAGAACAGCAUGACGUAACCUACCAUAGGGUAAAACCACUGGCAGGACACAGAGAGACGGACACACACAGGGCGGGAGCCACACCAGAAGCCCACCAAGCAGAGCCUGGAGAGGAGGUCACCACGGGAAAGACAGCCAUCGAUCCACCGGAGCCAACACAGAGGGCAAAGCCACCAACGAACAGAGGACCCAACAGCAGCGAGUUCACCCAACACCAAGCGAGAUGUCCCCACGCCGAGACAGGCUCUGCAAAGCUUUUCCUUAAGGAACUGUACCUGGUACCACCCAAGUCAUGAGGACAGUUUUGCAGAACAGAGAGGUCAUUUACUGUCCCAAGGCCAAAGAACCAACCCUCAGAGACCACCAGUAAUCCUGAGGCACCGACUGCCUCAGUCCCAGACCAGCAUGGGUGGGGGGAGCACAGCGUGAAAUCAUGUUAUCAGCAGCUUACACAGUCAACACAGCUACCAGGAAAGUCCAUUUAAGGAGCCCCUUUAAGCUCUCAGUCAGCUGACUCUGCAUCAUGAGGGUCUCCAGGCACUCGUGUGUGACUGAGGGCCCCAGAACACUGGCCAUGGAGGACAAAUGCCGCCCGAGGCCACUGGGCCGCUGCUGGAGCCGCACAGGGCCCCCUCCCAGCUCGGGCCCUUACCCCUGCGUCCGAGGGUCCUCCCACUGGGUGGUGCGUGUGUUAUGGUUCACGUAAUACACCCGUCCGUUGUCUUGUCUCUUCUCUGCCAGGGAGAAGGAGGAAAAGAGGACAGUCAGAUUGGGACAUCUUGAGUCCUGUUCUCUGCCCCUCCGGGUGCCCCUUUCCAGGUGCUGGGGUCUGGCUUGCCGCCGCUCCCGCCCUGCUGGAGAAGUUUAACCAAUAAAAGCCUGGCUCGUGCACAUCUGUCACUGGCAAAGGGGACAAAGAGAAUCUUUCCUUAGUGGGGAGUGGUGGAGGGACAGACACAUUUCCAGCUCAGGAUCAAGCACUGUCUUUGGUUGGUUGGAGAGCAGGGGAGGGGAGAGGGAGGGCACAGUGUGGCAACACUGAGGGGCAGCAGCCCAGCUGAAAGCAGAGGCCUAAUUGCAUCCAGCUGUGUGCAAAGUGGAGGCCCUCACCCACGCCCCAUCCCCCUCACCAAGUCCCUGGCAGCUGGUCUCUGGUCCUGCAAGCGCUCUGCCCGCCAGUUGCAGGGAUGGAGGCGCCUGUGGGGGUUGUAUUACUCUCAUAACUCUCUCUGAUCAGUACUCCACCUACCCUCUACUUAUCUUUUCUCUCCUCAGAGGCAAAGUUUUGUCCUAAAACUCUCACUCUCUAUGUUGCUUAUGUGCAAAUAAAUGCAGGGACUGCGGCACUUACAAUGCCCUUCUAGCUCUCACACCUAAGGGCAUGCGUCCUGCGUUUGGGAGAGCUCAGACAUUCUCUCUCCUCUGGACAAGGCUUACUCUCUUGCUUGCCCUUUGCCUGUGCUCUGAGGAUGGCCUGGGGUCCUUCAGGGAGGGAAUCGGCUUCAGGAGCAGACCCGAUUCUAGUGGGGACUCCAGGCCCUGAAAAAGGUUAAAAGGUCACCCCAUCAGCUCUGGGUGCAUGGAAGGCAGAACUCAGGGCAAGGCUCUGAGCCCAGACGGGUUGCCUUCCCCAGAAAGUUUCUGGGCCUUCAAAUCUGUUUCUGUCUUGAGAACAAAUGAUGCUAAUGGCCCCCUCUCACUGGGGAAAAUUAAAGAAAUAAAGACAAUCAGUUCCAGAACCUAACAGGGAAACCAAAAAUCAAAAAGGAGCAGAACUGGGGCGGGAGCCCCCAUCCCCUCCCCUCAAGUGUCAGGCUGCAACAUUCCCAAUACCAACCCCAGGCUUGGACUCCGUCUAUCUUACCUGGUAUCCAUUCAUCGAUAAAAAACAGGCAAACAAAAGGAGUCAAGAGAAGGAAUUUGCUACAGAGCUACGCCCACCUCAGAAGGCUUUCUGAGAGGGACCUGCGGGAGGGAAGGGCCCCCAGCCAGAGGCUUCUGCCCUCAGCUGGACCCUCCACAUUUGCUCUGCCUGGGCCUCAGUCAGCGCUCACCGCCAGGCUGCGGGAUCUGCCCAGUAGGUCUGAGGCCUGUGCCCUUGCUUCUGGCACUGCUCCCUGCACAGGGGGUCUUUGGUGUGGUCCCUCAGAACUGCUCUGCUGCACACAAUUUCAUGGUUUGGGGCUGGAGAGUCCUAAGAGCACCUAGCUCAGCCUCAUUUAGGGAGAAAUGGACUCGGGGACUUUCGGGCGCGUGUCCAGGGAUCAGGGAAGCUGAGGAGAUGUGGGCCAGAUGCCCCGGCCCCUGAGCGGAUGCUCAGGAAGGACCACGGGGUCUGUCAUGAAGGAGUAGGAAGGGACGCAGGGCUGAGACCAGGAGGACACAGCAGACCCGACAGCAGGCUCGUGCUAAAGGCAAUUCUCGUUUAGUUCUGCUGCUCUUCCUGUUCAAUCUCGGCUCUCCCUGGGGAGAUGCCCUGCACCAGCCCUGGAGAGGCCAGCACAGAGCCCGAAGGAUUCGGUUAGGGAGGGCCCCUGGCCCUCGGCCAGAUGCUCUCUCUUCUCUUCUCGGUCACAUACCAUUUAGUUUUGUCCUGUUUUCCUCAUCAUUUGUAAACAGCACCGAUUCCAACCAUGGCUCCGAGUCCCAUCUCAGAUAUGUCACAUGUGGCUUCUGGGAACUGUUUGCAAGUCCUUAUAGCUACACCCUCACUUGGUGACCAUCAUUUAGCAAAACUGGCACAGAAAUCAAUUACUUGACUCUACGGAGAAAGGUGCCACUCUGAGCCCCCAGCUCCAGGUCACAGUGUCUACUGGCUGCCAAACAGCAUUCCAGGUUCCGGUUUAAUCUGUUGAGUUUCCCCCUACCUAGACAGGGAUCUUGUGCGGGACCUCUGACUCGCUGCCAGUCUCUGAGACAGCAAUGACCUUUCAUCGGCUCAGGGAGCGAAGUGGAUUCUCUAGUGAGAAAUCAAUUGUGCAGAGGCCUCCCUGACUGACAUAUCCCACCAGGAGGGACGAGGAGGGCCCGCCAGCGCUCCGGAAUGCUGUGGUGAUUCAGUAAGUGAUACCCUGCGGGUCCCAGGGGGUUGAUGCAACUUCGUAAAUUACUACCAGGGAGCAGCUGUGUCUGCACCGGGAGGCUCCGAUGCACAUCCUGUCAUUGUCAGCUUCUCCGUCUUUGCUGGGGAGCAUGCCCCCACCCAACUUAAUACCAUCUGUGAACACCACCAAACCCGCGUUUACUGUCUCCUGCCGGCCUAACCAAUCAAUUAAACCCAACACAGGCCAGUUCCUGCUACACAGUCCUCUUUAGCUCCCAGGAACUCUUGCCUGCUGGAAAAAAAAAAAAUCCCGACCCAGCUCAGAGAGCUGCGGAAAGCACCCAGUCUCACCAUCUAUGAUGACCCCUCUUUGCGUGACCACUCCAUCCCAGAAAAGCCAUAAAGUCUGUAAUUUCUCUCAGGUCCAUCUAUCUCAUUACUGCAAAUCACACCAAAGACUUAGGUGAGAGGCAGCUGUCGAUGACGAGGAGAAGCCAGCAUGAUGCCGUUAACUAGCAAUGGUGUAUUUUAACAGAGUCCCCACCCGUCGCUCAGCGGCUUCCCUCCGGCCCCUUUCACAGCCCGUGUCCCCCCCCCCCCCCAAAAAAAAAAAAAAAAGGUGGCUUCCGUUAGCUCAGGGGUCGGAGCAUCUCAGCAUUAAGCACACAUCUCUUCAGCUGCCCUGACCCUGGGCGUGUUCCCGAGUGUUCCCGAACGUUCCCGAGUCCAUUUCUCCUUAAAUGAGGCUGAGCUAGAUGCUCUCAGUCCUCCAACAUCUCAGCUGUAAAGAAAGGUUUGGUAAAGUAGCUCCUUUCAAUCACACGCCACAGAUCUGAAAUAAACGCAUCUGGGAACCAGCCAUGUCAACAGUGGCAGGAUGGGUGGUUGUUGGGAAGACACCUUGAAAGUCAGGACCCAAAACCAACAGCACCACAGCCGCUCGGGGACUUCCUUCCGCUAUGGCGGAAGUGAACGCUACAUGGCAGGGGGACUCCGUUACUUUCCCAGCCUUCCCGCUCCAUGGCCUGCAACUUCUCUGGCUGGGCAUCCCCACAAGAGCGUGCUGGAAAGAAGUGAACUGGGAAACCGAGGGAGGGGAGAGAGGAGGACUCGCAGGGAGAGCAGGGAGCACGGUGUGGCACCAGCGAAGGGAGGCGGAGGGACAGACGUGGGACUCGGUACUUACCCCAGCCGGGAGGGAGGGGGCCCAGUGGGUCAUGGUCGGUUGAACCACUCGAAGACUAAACACAAGAAACAGCAGAACACAGAGGUUAAAAAAAAACAACACGCCGCUGGUUAAAAAUAAAUCGAUAGAUAAACCUAAAAAACGCCAACUCGUUUCCACAUUUGGGCUCUUUGUAGAGGAGAUCGUGGGCCGUUGGGUGACAUCUGCUCCCCUCAAAAGUCUUUUUCAAAAAAGAAAAGCUGAAAAGGGACCCUGCACGCCGAGGACCCAGAUAGGUGGUGGCGAGGGUGGUGUGAGGGGGAGGAAGAGGAGCGCAGACGAAGGCGGGCCAGGGCCCCAGAGGCGGCGGGCUGGCCCCGGGCAUGGUCGAAGGGCCCAGAGCCGGGCUGCUGGCGAGCUCUGCCGGCCCGGUGCCUCUGCUCAGCUCCUGCUCUCCCGCGGCCAAGGCAACUGAAAUCACCACCACCUCCAACUUUCUCCAAGAACCACACACGGGAAGGGAAAAAAAAUAUCGCAGGCCUUUCCAAUGAAAUCAUUCCCACAAGCCCUGCCCACGCCCAGAGCUUCCUGGCUGGGGGCUGGGCCCUCCUCCCCGCACCUCCCUCCUGGGUGCGCUGGAAGAGGGAGCCGGGUGUGCAGCAUCGGCCCAGACUGAGGGCACAUUCAUGCCCCGGGCCCCUUACCUCCCCCAGGAAUGUUUUGCUUCCCUUCACAAAGCACCUUUAUUCUCCUCCGGCCUGAACCUGAAGCUGCUCAGUGUUCUGUGUGUGCCUGUCUGGGGAGGUGGGGCUGGGGGCGAGGUGGCAGGAGAGAAGGGGAGACAGGAGAAAGAAGGGGGAGCUGACUCCGGGACUUAAGGGUCGCUGUUUACAGUAGAGCCCCCCACCCCCAGCCAAAUUCUGCUGCAAGGUCCCUGGGGCAGGGCUGCUGGGGCCCAAGGGUUCUCAUAUCCUGUGGGGAAGGGGGUGCUGUCAGAAACUCUUCAUAGUUAAAUAAAACAAGUAUUGUUCUGCGCUUGCUCUCUCUCUCUCUCUCUCUCUCUCUCUCUCUCUCUCUCUCUCCUUUUUCCCCCUGAAACAUUUUUAUUUCACUUACUAAAAUUUAAUCAUUACAUUAGGGGAUCAAGUUCUCCAGGCAGACUUCGAGCUGCCUGGCUGGCCCCUCCGGAGCCACACACAGGCACGAGGAUGAAUGGAGCUCAGUCUCGGCUUGAGAAAACAUUGGUGGAACUCAACUGCCAACGAACCCCCUUUCACGGCCGCCCUCAGCCCCCAGCUGAAAGCACAGAGAAACGUUCUUUCCGAGGUGGCAGCGCAAGCAA
Pipistrellus kuhlii (Kuhl's pipistrelle) is the source of this 6437-nucleotide long non-coding RNA. RefSeq lists it as uncharacterized. NCBI's taxonomy places the organism in Eukaryota, Metazoa, Chordata, Mammalia, Chiroptera, Vespertilionidae. The transcript is spliced from 2 exons. The record is from RefSeq and is a predicted model, not a curated record.